This 258-nucleotide ribosomal RNA is filed under the name uncultured bacterium. Its description in RNAcentral is "partial 16S ribosomal RNA". It matches the Rfam family "Bacterial small subunit ribosomal RNA", at positions 518 to 775 of the family's 1533-position model. The record is from RNAcentral.
CGGUAAUACGAGGGGUACAAGCGUUAAUCGGAAUGACGGGGCGUAAAGCGCGCGUAGGUGGUUAGGUAAGUUGGAUGUGAAAGCCCUGGGCUCAACCUGGGAACUGCAUCCAAAACUGCUUGGCUAGAGUACGGUAGAGGGUAGUGGAAUUUCCUGUGUAGCGGUGAAAUGCGUAGAUAUAGGAAGGAACACCAGUGGCGAAGGCGACUACCUGGACUGAUACUGACACUGAGGUGCGAAAGCGUGGGGAGCAAACAG